GUGUUAAAACAUAACCAAACACUCCAGGACCUUGGGAAAGAAAUCUGUAUCAGACAUGUGGGCUUCAUUAAGGGAAAUGCCUUCAGAAGAUUAUUUUUCCAUGUUAUGAGAAAAAAUCUCAACAACCACAGCAGAUGUUCCAGUGCCCAGGUGACCUAGAAGCUUCAUGUGGAGGUGAUGGAACUUCAGUAGGCCUGGAAGUGAUGCAGUAUCUUCUGCCCUCAAUCUUGUGAUGAAUGUUUUCUCAGUAUCCUAUGCUGAAAACAGGUAGAUACUAAUAUCGAUCUUCAAGGGAGGGCUGUUGAGUAUUGAAUAAGACAAAAACAUGGAAGCAAUCAGCACCAUGCUGGAGAGCCUUUAUAUAACCAAAGAUAUUUUUGGACCAUGAAUUCAGAAAUUCUCGGAGCCACCCAUCAGUGCCUGAGCUUCAGUGAGUCCAUAUCCCAUGUCACCCACGGCAAAGGAGACUCUAAGACUUCUGAAGAGUUUCUUGCUUCUUUCCUGUGGGGCAGUGACUCCACUUCCCAGCAGUAAUGGAAUAUCCUGAAUUAGCUACAUUAAUGUUAGAACCAUUUGGACCUCACCCAGGACUUCAACUACAUUAUGAGUAACUCCUGGACGAUUGGCACAGAAGAAGGCACAAGGCAAAUACCCAUCUCUGUACACCCUGUGCUACUGUGUCAUGUGCUGCUCCAGGCAACUCCAAUGGAUUGGCCACCCUGGCCAAUGUGCCCUCCAAACACCAGCACUGAGUAGAAAGAGGCUCUGAUUCAUGAAAUGUGAAUUUAUGACAGUUGCCACUCUUAAAAAAAAAAACAAACAGACAGAACUUGAGCAAUACAUGACUGAUGCAUUCUCAGCCUGCUUCCUGUGUUCCAUCUGUCUUUCUGCCAGUGCAUUCACCCUCCAGUGAAACUUUCUACAUUCCACAUUUUCUAUCAAGAAAAGAAAGAGGUUGUAUUGUGAGGUAAGAGGCACACACACGGACUUCCUUCAGUAGCUGCAAUCCUUGCUAUAGGUCAGGCAUCAAGACAAUUCCACUUUACAGGCCUGGAUUUUGGAGAAAGAAAGGUUCUAGUAUGUUACGUUUAUGUUCCCCUGCUUUCUACAAUCCUGUUCAAAGAGUUGCUGACUUAACCACAGAGAGGAUUCCAGAACCUGAGACACAGAAUAAACUUGAGCAAUCAUAGUCCAUCCACUUCAUUGUCUCAUCAAAAACCAAAGGUCCAGUGAAGCUCUGGAACUCAACGCUGUAAAGGAGCGAAGGAGCUUCUAUACAGAGCCUGGAUGCCUGUCUCCUUAUCCUACUUCAGUGGACUUGACUGCAAUCCGGAUUAUGCUGUUUUCUAAGCAUUUAAAAUAAAAUAAAAAGUAUAAUAGUGUGAUAAGUUCUUUCACAAAGCAAGCAAUCACAUUUAUGUUUCUACUUACAUUUGGGUUUUCCAAAUAUGUGUGUGUGUGUGUGUGUGUGUGUGUGUGUGUGUAUGUAGACUUUAAACAUGGUGCAUCCAUCAUGUUGCACUAAAUCAAAACCACCAAAUAAUGAUGUAGAACUAAUAAAUCAAAACCAUCAAAUAAUGACAUAGAAAUCCAAUUCUCCCACCUUACACCCAUUAAGAUGGCUACU
RNAcentral lists this long non-coding RNA (1627 nucleotides) under Homo sapiens (human). Its description in RNAcentral is "PREDICTED lncRNA (TCONS_00067655)". Lineage: Eukaryota; Metazoa; Chordata; Mammalia; Primates; Hominidae. The record is from RNAcentral.